This 561-nucleotide ribosomal RNA is filed under the name uncultured bacterium. RNAcentral's name for it is "bacterial SSU rRNA". It matches the Rfam family "Bacterial small subunit ribosomal RNA", at positions 119 to 674 of the family's 1533-position model. The record is from RNAcentral.
CGGAACGUGCCCAAUCGUGGGGGAUAGCUCGGCGAAAGCCGGAUUAAUACCGCAUACGAUCUACGGAUGAAAGCAGGGGACUCGCAAGAGCCUUGCGCGAAUGGAGCGGCCGAUGGCAGAUUAGGUAGUUGGUGGGGUAAAGGCUCACCAAGCCGACGAUCUGUAGCUGGUCUGAGAGGACGACCAGCCACACUGGGACUGAGACACGGCCCAGACUCCUACGGGAGGCAGCAGUGGGGAAUUUUGGACAAUGGGCGCAAGCCUGAUCCAGCAAUGCCGCGUGCAGGAUGAAGGCCUUCGGGUUGUAAACUGCUUUUGUACGGAACGAAAAGGCUCUGGUUAAUACCUGGGGCUCAUGACGGUACCGUAAGAAUAAGCACCGGCUAACUACGUGCCAGCAGCCGCGGUAAUACGUAGGGUGCGAGCGUUAAUCGGAAUUACUGGGCGUAAAGCGUGCGCAGGCGGUGAUGUAAGACAGUUGUGAAAUCCCCGGGCUCAACCUGGGAACUGCAUCUGUGACUGCAUCGCUGGAGUGCGGCAGAGGGGGAUGGAAUUCCGCGU